This 253-nucleotide ribosomal RNA is filed under the name uncultured bacterium. RNAcentral's name for it is "partial 16S ribosomal RNA". It matches the Rfam family "Bacterial small subunit ribosomal RNA", at positions 524 to 776 of the family's 1533-position model. The record is from RNAcentral.
UACGUAGGGGGCAAGCGUUGUCCGGAUUCAUUGGGCGUAAAGAGCGUGUAGGCGGCCAGGUAGGUCGGUUGUGAAAACUGGAGGCUCAACCUUCAGACGUCGACCGAAACCAUCUGGCUGGAGUUCGGUAGGGGAGACUGGAAUUCCUGGUGUAGCGGUGAAAUGCGCAGAUAUCAGGAGGAACACCGGUGGCGAAGGCGGGUCUCUGGGCCGAUACUGACGCUGAGGAGCGAAAGCGUGGGGAGCGAACAGG